RNAcentral lists this ribosomal RNA (390 nucleotides) under Skeletonema sp. Its description in RNAcentral is "partial small subunit ribosomal RNA". It matches the Rfam family "Eukaryotic small subunit ribosomal RNA", at positions 582 to 975 of the family's 1831-position model. Lineage: Eukaryota; Bacillariophyta; Thalassiosirophyceae; Thalassiosirales; Thalassiosiraceae. The record is from RNAcentral.
AUUCCAGCUCCAAUAGCGUAUAUUAAAGUUGUUGCAGUUAAAAAGCUCGUAGUUGGAUUUCUGGCAGGAGUGACUGACCACAAACUCUGUUUGUGAGUUGUGUCAUUCUGGCCAUCCUUGGUAAGAUCCUUUUUGGCAUUAAGUUGUCGGGAAGGGGAUGACCAUCGUUUACUGUGAAAAAAUUAGAGUGUUUAAAGCAGGCUUAUGCCGUUGAAUAUAUUAGCAUGGAAUAAUAAGAUAGGACUUUGAGUCUAUUUUGUUGGUUUGCGAGUCAAAGUAAUGAUUAAUAGGGACAGUUGGGGGUAUUCGUAUUUCAUUGUCAGAGGUGAAAUUCUUGGAUUUCUGAAAGACGAACUACUGCGAAAGCAUUUACCAAGGAUGUUUUCAUUA